AUGCCUUAAACUUAUGAGUAAGGAAAAUAACCCGGGCAACACCUGGGUCCUCACUGCCGAUGUGAGGCAAAUUUUUGCGAGGGUAAAAAUCUGCCCCUGUGUGACGCCUUACUUUGCGGGAUGCCCGCAGGGUGCAAUCUGCCCG
Molecule: small nuclear RNA, 145 nt
Organism: Suncus etruscus (white-toothed pygmy shrew)
Lineage: Eukaryota; Metazoa; Chordata; Mammalia; Eulipotyphla; Soricidae
Product: U12 minor spliceosomal RNA
Exons: 1
Source: RefSeq, a predicted model, not a curated record